GCUUGUCUCAAAGAUUAAGCCAUGCAUGUCUAAGUGUAAAUAAGUCUAUACUGUGAAACUGCGAAUGGCUCAUUAAAUCAGUUAUCGUUUAUUUGAUGAUCUCUUACUACUUGGAUAACCGUAGUAAUUCUAGAGCUAAUACAUGCACAAAAUCCCGACUUACGAAGGGAUGUAUUUAUUAGAUACAGAACCAACCCAGGCUCCGCCUGGCCUUGAGGUGAUUCACAAUAACCGAACGAAUCGCAUAGCUGCCGCUGGCGAUAGACCAUUCAAGUUUCUGACCUAUCAGCUAUCGUCGGUAGGGUAUUGGCCUACCGUGGCAAUGACGGGUAACGGAGAAUUAGGGUUCGAUUCCGGAGAGGGAGCCUGAGAAACGGCUACCACAUCUAAGGAAGGCAGCAGG
This 403-nucleotide ribosomal RNA is filed under the name Gyrodinium helveticum. RNAcentral describes it as "partial small subunit ribosomal RNA". It matches the Rfam family "Eukaryotic small subunit ribosomal RNA", at positions 30 to 432 of the family's 1831-position model. Lineage: Eukaryota; Dinophyceae; Gymnodiniales; Gymnodiniaceae. The record is from RNAcentral.